RNAcentral lists this ribosomal RNA (494 nucleotides) under uncultured bacterium. RNAcentral's name for it is "partial 16S ribosomal RNA". It matches the Rfam family "Bacterial small subunit ribosomal RNA", at positions 28 to 507 of the family's 1533-position model. The record is from RNAcentral.
GACGAACGCUGGCGGCGUGCUUAACACAUGCAAGUCGAACGGAAAGGCCUGCUUUCCCUUGUGGAUUGCGGGUACUCGAGUGGCGAACGGGUGAGUAACACGUGAGUGAUCUGCCCCCAACUUGGGUAUAAGCCUGGGAAACUGGGUCUAAUUCCCGAUAGGACUGCAGGGUGGUGCCUGUGGUGGAAAACGAUGUUCUAGUGGUUGGGGAUGAGCUCGCGGCCUAUCAGCUUGUUGGUGGGGUAAUGGCCUACCAAGGCGGCGACGGGUAGCCGGCCUGAGAGGGUGGACGGCCACAUUGGGACUGAGAUACGGCCCCGACUCCUACGGGAGGCAGCCGUGGGGAAUAUUGCACAAUGGGCGGAAGCCUGAUGCAGCGACGCCGCGUGGGGGAUGACGGCCUUCGGGUUGUAAACUCCUUUCGACCGCGAGGAAGCCACCUGGUUGGAAGGGUGGUGACGGUAGUGGUAGAAGAAGCACCGGCUAACUACGUG